RNAcentral lists this ribosomal RNA (491 nucleotides) under uncultured bacterium. RNAcentral's name for it is "bacterial SSU rRNA". It matches the Rfam family "Bacterial small subunit ribosomal RNA", at positions 37 to 518 of the family's 1533-position model. The record is from RNAcentral.
UAGCGACAGGCCUAACACGAUGCAAGUCGAGGGGCAGCGCGGGAGAAGCUUGCUUUCCUGGCGGCGACCGGCGCACGGGUGCGUAACAGGUGUGCAAUCUGUCCAUAGUCGGGGGAUAGCCCAGCGAAAGCUGAAUUAACACUCCAUGUGAAUCGAAGCCGCAUGACUUUGAUUUGAAACGCAAGGACUAUGGGUGAGCACGCUUCUGAUUAGCUAGUUGGUGGGGUAACGGCUCACCAAGGCGACGAUCAGUAGGGGUUCUGAGAGGAAGGUCCCCCACAUUGGAACUGAGACACGGUCCAAACUCCUACGGGAGGCAGCAGUGAGGAAUAUUGGUCAAUGGGCGAGAGCCUGAACCAGCCAAGUCGCGUGAAAAGGAUGAAGGUUCUAUGGAUUGUAAACUUCUUUUGUCCGAGGGUAAAAAAGGCCACGUGUGGCUUCUUGCAAGUAUCGGACGAAUAAGCAUCGGCUAACUCCGUGCCAGCCGCAGC